Molecule: non-coding RNA, 1062 nt
Organism: Lactuca sativa (garden lettuce)
Lineage: Eukaryota; Viridiplantae; Streptophyta; Magnoliopsida; Asterales; Asteraceae
Source: RefSeq, a predicted model, not a curated record
AAAUACACGCGCCCCCAAUAAAACUUCCUUCUUACGAUUCAUUCCUAAUUUCAUUCUUAUGUUUUCUCUCUACACAAUCAGCUCCCCAUGAAACUCAAUAGAUAUGAACCCUAACCCCUUCGAUAUGCGUAACCCCAUUGAUUUCAUGUAUACAUGGAAUCGAUCCUAUGCGUUCUACUUCUGCUGAUAUGGAAUCGAUCAUAUGCGUAACCCCAGGAAUUCUUGAGGGGCACCGCGUCGACCAUCAACGAUUUUCGAUCCUGUGUGUUCUACUUCAGAUGCAGAUGAAAUAUGUUGAAGCUCGAUUAGGAGAUUGAGUUCUUUAUGUAGAUAAGAUUUUCAAAACCCUAAUUUCUUUAUCAAUUACAAUUUCAUUUUUAUGUUCUUUAAAGGGCAAAGUGAAGUUCAAAACUAUUUUCUGAACUUAUCCUAUUGUAGGUUUUAUCACGUCUUUCUGAGUUGGAAACCACUUUGGAUGUUGGAAUUUUUCACAGGAAUGCUGCUCUUCACUCCAUUGGGUUUCGUUUAAUAGUAUAGAUGAACAUGGUUAAAAGAGAGAAAGUUGUGUCCGAUUUGGUUGGUCUUCCGAUUCUGUCUGUUUUCACUCCCUGAUAUUGUAUGCUCUCAUCCAAUUUUAUUGGUUUCUUAUUCAUCUUCUAUCGAUCUCGGUUUUUUAUUUAAUCUAAUCAGGUUUGGUCCCGUAGUCUGUUGAUUGAUGUGAAGGCAGACACGUUCUGAUCCAUGUUCACCUUACCAGCGAAACAAUAUUGGAUAAGAAAACUUAGAUCAUGUUGUUGUGGCUUUGAAUCUUUGAUAUUUGAAAUCAUAAGUUCUUGUGAUAGACGGAAAACUCUGAUGAUGGAGAUAUUUUUAGGCAUGUCAUAUGUAAAUGGUCAUAAGCAGAUAAGCUUCCUAGAGUGAAUGCAUGUAAUGAGCGGUCGUUGUAACUUGGAAGGGGUAGUUUUGUAAAAUAUCAGAGAAUCUAUGUAAAUUAGUGUUAAAACAGAACAUGUAAAAGAGUGUCAAAAUAGAAUUUCAAAAUGAAUUUAUUAUUAUUUUUUA